CCUACGGGAGGCAGCAGUGGGGAAUAUUGCGCAAUGGGGGAAACCCUGACGCAGCAACGCCGCGUGAAGGAAGAAGGCCUUCGGGUUGUAAACUUCUUUGAUUAGGGACGAAAAAAGACGGUACCUAAAAAACAAGCCACGGCUAACUACGUGCCAGCAGCCGCGGUAAUACGUAGGUGGCAAGCGUUGUCCGGAAUUACUGGGUGUAAAGGGCGUGUAGGCGGGAAUAUAAGUCAGAUGUGAAAUUCUGAAGCUCAACUUCAGAGCUGCAACUGAAACUAUAUUUCUUGAGUGAUGGAGAGGAAAGCGGAAUUCCUAGUGUAGCAGUGAAAUGCGUAGAUAUUAGGAGGAACACCAGUGGCGAAGGCGGCUUUCUGGACAUUAACUGACGCUGAGGCGCGAAAGCGUGGGGAGCAAACAGGAUUAGAUACCCUGGUAGUCCACGCUGUAAACGAUGGAUACUAGGUGUAGGAGGUAUCGACCCCUUCUGUGCCGCAGUUAACACAAUAAGUAUCCCCACCUACGGGUAGGUACGGCCGCGACGGUAGUAACGUACGAAAGUAGAAGUUAGACGGCGUGUAGACGUUGCGAACGGACGACGACGAGGGAGGAGG
Molecule: ribosomal RNA, 614 nt
Filed under: uncultured bacterium
Lineage: Bacteria
Description: bacterial SSU rRNA
Rfam family: Bacterial small subunit ribosomal RNA (bases 1-521)
Source: RNAcentral